Molecule: non-coding RNA, 200 nt
Organism: Hydra vulgaris (swiftwater hydra)
Lineage: Eukaryota; Metazoa; Cnidaria; Hydrozoa; Anthoathecata; Hydridae
Source: RefSeq, a predicted model, not a curated record
GCAAAGCAACAGCAUAUCUUGUGGAGUUUUUUGUCUUAAGUUUGCUGAAAACUUUUUAAAUAAUGAGGAGCUAUUACAGUUGUUUCCAACUAAUGAAGUAGAUGUUUAUAGAAAGGAGAUUGUACAAUAUCUUAUAGAUAAAGGAGGUAUAAAACAUUGGCAAGACAAAUUAUGUUGCAUUUGUGGAAAAUUAAAGGGAC